Molecule: ribosomal RNA, 460 nt
Filed under: uncultured bacterium
Lineage: Bacteria
Description: partial 16S ribosomal RNA
Rfam family: Bacterial small subunit ribosomal RNA
Source: RNAcentral
CCUACGGGUGGCAGCAGUGAGGAAUAUUGGUCAAUGGACGAGAGUCUGAACCAGCCAAGUAGCGUGAAGGAUGACUGCCCUAUGGGUUGUAAACUUCUUUUAUAUGGGAAUAAAACGUUCCACGUGUGGGAUUUUGUAUGUACCAUAUGAAUAAGGAUCGGCUAACUCCGUGCCAGCAGCCGCGGUAAUACGGAGGAUCCGAGCGUUAUCCGGAUUUAUUGGGUUUAAAGGGAGCGUAGGUGGAUUGUUAAGUCAGUUGUGAAAGUUUGCGGCUCAACCGUAAAAUUGCAGUUGAAACUGGCAGUCUUGAGUACAGUAGAGGUGGGCGGAAUUCGUGGUGUAGCGGUGAAAUGCUUAGAUAUCACGAAGAACUCCGAUUGCGAAGGCAGUUCACUGGACUGCAACUGACACUGAGGCUCGAAAGUGUGGGUAUCAAACAGGAUUAGAAACCCCUGUAGUC